AUAAAAGCUUUUGAUUCAUCAAAUGAGAGGCUGGCAGUUAGUAUUACCAGUAUGCCCUGACCCAAACCAAUAUAGGCUCUUCUGCUAUAAAAUAUAAGGCAUAUUUAAAAGAGACUUAAGCAUAAUAACUGACUUACAAAAGUUGAUGUAAGAAACAAGAAUUCUUCAAGGAAGAAAAGUAUUUCUUCUCAGCUUCUACUGGAAGUCUUACCUUGUUCAUACAUAGUGAACCUUUCAUUCUUUAUUACUGAAUGCACUUUAUGUGAUAUUGAUGCAACCCAUAUUUUUUGAGAUUUUCUUCUCCUCUUCCCACAGUCUGUCUUCUGGAGGCAUAAUCUUUGAUCUAUGAUGACAAUAAUUUUCACAGCAUAUGCAGACAGUGACUGCAGAUGGGGAAAGCUGAGGAAUGACAGUUGCAGCCCCUGCUGAGGCUGAGUGCCACAGGGAAAGAAAGGUGUCUCACAACAGAAGGUGGACAACUCUGUAAUACUUUAGAAGAGAAUUUUAUAGUAAGAACUGAUGCUCUGCUUGGGACAAAAAACAACACAAAACAAAACAACCUGAAUGUGUGAUCCUAUCCCAGCUCAGCUUGAGUUCAGUGUGAGUUAUGGUGCUGACUGAUUUCCCUGGGGAUGGAACCUCAUGCUGUGUAUGCAGGAAUGUCACUAAACGGGUAGGUGAGUUUUUAGGCUAAACUUGUCAGCCAGAAAAAAAGCAGUGCCUGAAGGCUUAAUAUUAUCUUCCCUGUCCCAGUGUGUCCACUGGGUGAUGUUUGUUUUGGCAAUGUUUUUUUUUUGAGCUUGCUUGAUGGUAAGGAAAUUCUUUUGAGACAGUUUGGGUAGCAGAAUAAGUUGUGGUUCUGUUUGCAGCUUUAUUUGUCUCAGCAUCUGGAUUUAUUAUACAUCCUGUUUUGCUUGACAGAAAGAUUAAGCAGACUUGACAAACUCACAGUUGUAACCUUAUCUUUGCAGUCAGAACCCUACAAGUCAUGAUAAAAGAUAUGUCGUUAAGAUCUGCAAAAGAAAAUACUGAAGGAAAAAUGGGGUGGAGAAAAAGAGAGAGAGAGAAAGGAAAAGAAGAAGAAAACCAUUUGGUUCAACAACUGUCUGCAAGUAGAGCUUGGAUGUAGUAUCAUACUGCAUAGUAGUGUUACAUAAAUACAAGUGAUAUAGGUCUUUUUUUUAUGAGUGUCAUAAGUUUUGUUCUGCGUGUGGUAGCUUCACUGAUUGAUUGCUGUUACCUGGUGGUUUCCCAUCCAUAAAUAUUUAAUGAUAUACUGCAGUCAAAUCAGGAAGAACUGCAUUUAUAGGAACAAAAAAUCUGUAAUUUUUAAGCAAUUGAUUAUAACUGGCUUCACAUAUCAUAUUUGUUUCUUAUUCCCUCUGACAGCCUGGCAGCUUUUCUCACGCUUCAUUUUCUUAUCACUUAAAAAAGGCUUAUCUUCCUUUUGUGUAAGACCCAUGCAAAGGAAUUAGUUAUGUACUGAAGAGACAGUGAAGAUGUCUAAGUACAGAACAGUACCAACUAGGUACUAUUAAAAGUACCACCUAAAAAUAAUCGUAAACUAAGGAAAAAUCUUAUGCUCAAUUGGAAGGGGCAGAAAACACAGUCAGAUGUUUUGCUAUACUGAUGGGAUUUCCAGAGUUAACGCUAGCAUGUCACUCUAAGUGAAAACUUACCUAGUAAGUGGGGGAGAAUGUUCCGUGUUUUGCUUUGUCUGGU
Gallus gallus (chicken) is the source of this 1722-nucleotide long non-coding RNA. The record is from Ensembl. Lineage: Eukaryota; Metazoa; Chordata; Aves; Galliformes; Phasianidae.